RNAcentral lists this ribosomal RNA (402 nucleotides) under Verrucomicrobiota bacterium. RNAcentral's name for it is "Verrucomicrobia bacterium partial 16S ribosomal RNA". It matches the Rfam family "Bacterial small subunit ribosomal RNA", at positions 355 to 776 of the family's 1533-position model. The record is from RNAcentral. Lineage: Bacteria; Pseudomonadati; Verrucomicrobiota.
UGGGGAAUUUUGCACAAUGGGGGAAACCCUGAUGCAGCGACGCCGCGUGAUUUAGAAGGCCUUCGGGUUGUAAAAAUCUUUUCUAUGGGAAGAAAAUGACAGUACCAUAGGAAUAAGGACUGGCUAAUUACGUGCCAGCAGCCGCGGUAAUACGUAAGGUCCGAGCGUUGUCCGGAAUCAUUGGGCGUAAAGGGUACGUAGGCGGGUAAGCAAGUUAGAAGUGAAAUCCUGUAGCUCAACUACAGUAAGCUUUUAAAACUGCUCAUCUUGAGAUAUGGAAGGGAAAGUGGAAUUCCUAGUGUAGCGGUGAAAUGCGCAGAUAUUAGGAGGAAUACCGGUGGCGAAGGCGACUUUCUGACCAUAAUCUGACGCUGAGGUACGAAAGCGUGGGUAGCAAACAGG